GGAUGGAUGAUCAGUUUCCUGUUCCUCAUUGCUCUCCUUGGGCCAUUUAGCAUUGUCAUUCUGCGAAAGGUACCUCUACUUCAGAAAUCUAGCAACAGAAGGAUGCUUGAGUUGUGUUCAAGUGUUUUGUCCAGCCUUUCCAAAAUAAUGAACUUCAGCGCAUGGUUAUACUUUAAAUUAAAUUGCUCUAUCUGUCCUCAUUUUUUAGCUUUGGUUGCUUGGUUGGUGUUUUUCUGUUUGAAAAUAAGUUCCGAGCUUGCAAUUGCAGGUGAUGGUGAUUGAUUACAAGCUUACAUUCCCUGGUGGGACUGCUACUGCCCUGAUGAUUAAUAGCUUGCAUGGGAAAGCAGAAGGUGAUCUUGCAGGGUAAGGCAAAAGGUACUCAGCAUGCCUUUACGGUUCAUGAUUGCAAGUAUUUUCUCACUGUUUCAGGCACAAGAACUCUUUUUCCUAGAGUAUGUAUCUUGAUGAGUAAAAAUGUGAUUUUACAAAGUAUGUAAACCAGUUAAUUAGACAAUUCAUAUGCAUGAAAAAUGACACAUACAAUCCAUAUGGCUGAGAAAGUAUAUUUUCUAAAUGGGACUAUUAUAAAGUAGAAAAUUCUUGAAUGGAUCAAAUACUACCUUUAUGCACACUGUUAAAUACGUUUGGAACAUUUGCACUCUGACGUCAGCAGCAAAAGAACCGAUGUGCAGAUGGUGUCAUUAAUUUUGUACUCUAACAAAUGUUGUCUCAUGUCUUUAUAUAACUGUAGGCAGGUCUUGUUUCAAAGUUUGUCCCCUUUUCACUUGCUUGUGUUAUUCUAUUAUUUUGCAGGAAAAAGGUAAAUUGUCUUGUAAAGUACAUGAGCAUUAGUUUUGGCUGGAGCUUCUUUAAGUGGUUCUUUAGUGGUGUUGGUGACUCUUGUGGUUUUGACAAUUUCCCGACAUUUGGGCUUUUAGCUUUUCAGAAUACGUAAGUUCUCAUUAUUCCAGUUUUUCCCCCUCUCAAUUUUUAUCACAUGGUUAUCAAUGUGAUUGUUCAUACCAAUCUGGCUUAUUUCCUCAAAUAAAUACUGGUUAAUUGUGGUAACCUACAAAUUAUGUUGGUCUGAUUUGUUUAUUGUGGAUAGAUCUUUUAUUCAGCAUUUUCUUUUAUCUAAAUGAACACUGUCAUUUAGUCUAGGCUGCUUCACUGCCUAUAUUUUUCUCCAAAAAAAAUGUACACUUAUCAGGAAAUAUUCUCAAUUAAUUUGACUCACCACAGAUAUGCCGAAGUCCACUAAUUAUUUCUGACAAUUAAAAUUCAAGUUCUGUAGUGUCGAUUCUGCAUUGCUUGAUCUUCCAUCCUACUCUGCCACUGUUCAAAAAAAAACAAAUGAAGUUGUAGUGUUAAUGACUGAUGUGUGACAUGCUAUGGUUGCAAUGUGUAUUCAGUUACCUAUUCAAACUUGAAAAUAAAGUAUUCUUAUACAUGUGAGGAGGUCAAGAAAACCUCAUUUUCUGAACUUUUCCUUUUGUACUGUGGCAGAUUUUAUUUCAACUUCAGUCCUAGUUAUGUUGGGUUUGGUCUUAUUUCCCCCCAUAUUGUGAACUGCUCGGUUUUCCUUGGGUCAGUCAUAUCUUGGUGUUUUCUUUGGCCAUUUAUCAGUGCAAAGGCUGGUCAUUGGUACCCAGAUAACCUUGGUAACAGUGACUUCAGAGGCCUGUAUGGUUAUAAGGUAUACUCCUAUUUUCUUUUUUUCAUAAGUGGUGUUUCUGUUUUGUUGUAAAUAAGCUAACUGAAUCUGCAGCUUUAUGUUAAAUUGAACCUUUUUUGCAUAAGAUUCUCUCAACAAGCUGCUAUUCUUCUGUUAGUAGUUUAUAUGAUUAAUGUGCACAGGUCUCUGCAAGUGAUUUUUUUUUUGUCAUGCCGCCAUGCUUGAUUUCUUCAUAUCAUGUUUAUACCUGCAGGUUUUCAUAGCCAUUUCUAUCAUACUUGGAGAUGGUCUCUAUAACUUGGUUAAGAUAUUUGUCAUUAUUGCUAAGGAAUUCUGUAAUGUACGAUCCAAACAGCAUGAUCUUCCUGUUGAAGCUCUGGAAGGUAACAUCUUACUUCUUAGCUGACAUGCAAUGUUUUCACCGCAUGCUGUGAGAUGAAUUUGGGCCAUUUCCUAUUACGUUUUACAAAAAGAUUACCUCUUUGUUACUUUUAGUGCAUAUUGCUUUUAGGUCAACAUAUCAUCUUCCUGAGUUAUAUGUCCAAUGUUUGUCCCAUGGUUAUUUAUUUAUUUAUUUAUUUUUGCAGAUGAUGAGAACUCUGAACAGUUAGUGGAAGAGAAACUACAAACUGAGGUAUUCCUCAAAGAUAGUAUACCUCCUUGGUUUGCUGCUUCUGGUUACAUCGCACUGGCAGCAAUAUCCACCGCCACUGUGCCC
RNAcentral lists this long non-coding RNA (2396 nucleotides) under Setaria italica (foxtail millet). RNAcentral describes it as "long non-coding RNA (SITA_LNC005184)". The record is from RNAcentral. Lineage: Eukaryota; Viridiplantae; Streptophyta; Magnoliopsida; Poales; Poaceae.